AUGGACUUGAUCCAAAGUCAUUUCUGUCAAUGGAAAGAUUCCCACUGACUUUGAUGGGCUUUGGAUCAGGUCUCUAA
This 77-nucleotide microRNA precursor is filed under the name Pelodiscus sinensis (Chinese soft-shelled turtle). RNAcentral describes it as "miRNA (ENSPSIG00000020086.1)". Lineage: Eukaryota; Metazoa; Chordata; Testudines; Trionychidae. The record is from RNAcentral.